UUCAAUUUCAGCAAUUUAUGCCAAAUUUUAUCUAGUAAAAAAAAUUGUCAAAAUUGAAAUAAAAUAUUUUUUUUUAUUCCAUUUACAUAUAAAAAUAAUUUUUAAAAUUUCUUUUCUCAUAUCUUUUCCUCUUCAAUUUCUCUUCUCUCUCAUAAGCAAACUCCUACCAAUCUGAAACUUAGUCAAAUGCAUCUGUAUCCCCGUAGCUCCCAUCAAAACGGAACUCAAAACCUAAAGAUAAGCAGAGAAAACACACCAAUGAGAGCUUUGGUUUGUGCAAAUCAAGAAGGAGUUGUUUUUGCACCAAACUUCUUUGAUAUGUUGCUCAUUGUUUUCGGCGAAGCUAAGGACAAUGGAAUGUCGCUGGCAUCUCGUGACGUCAAGGGAACCUUCCUCAAACUUCGCUAGAGACUAGAAAGGGAGAAAUGAAGGGCAACAACUUUGGGUCUAACUUUCUCUCUCUAUUUAGCAAUUUUGGGUGAGUUUGAAGCUUACCAAGGUUAACAGGUUGUGUAGAGGUUAAGA
RNAcentral lists this unclassified non-coding RNA (525 nucleotides) under Hevea brasiliensis (rubber tree). Lineage: Eukaryota; Viridiplantae; Streptophyta; Magnoliopsida; Malpighiales; Euphorbiaceae. The record is from RNAcentral.